GGCCAGGGUCUGCCAGGGGUUGCUGAUGGUCAUUGUGCUCAUGUGUAUGAGCCAUGUUGCCCAGUUACUUUCUUCUUUUGUAUUUGUACCAGGAUAUCCUGGACCUGAGUUGAAAUUUAACUCAGGAGGUAUAUCUAACACAGAAAGCCAGUUGCCAUGGCAGGCCUUCCUUUCUCUCUCCAGCUAUUUCCUGCCUCAGUAGGAUAGAACAAAUAAAGAUAGGUAGAAAGGAGACAAAGAAAAUCAUAAUUUAAAAAUGUACUUUUAAGAAAACUGCAACUUCAGAACAUAAUCAAUGUUACCUAAGGUUAUCCAUAUUUGUACUCCAUAUCUUUAUUCCCUAGGCUUGGUCCUGUUCCCUAGCUGGCUUUUCCUUUUUUUUUUUUUUUCUCCUUCCAGGCCCAUCACAACCAAACCCCUUAAAUAUAUAGUGGUACCUCAGUUCACCGAUGCGUUUGUGUGCAAACAGUUUGGUUUUUGUGAACAACAGAAGCAUUUAGCAAAAUUUUGCUUUUGUUUUCUAACUCUGCAUCAGAUGACAAACAUGACUACGGCCAUAUUUCCCACAUGACCAUGAACGUGGCCAUCUUUUUCAGACUUGUAGAAUGAAUUAAGUUCAUGAACCGUGGCACCUCUGUACUAUUAACCCAUAAGUUAACCUAGUUAAUAAGGUAAAGGACAGCAACCUAUGCUUAAGAUGAAGAAACAGACUCAAAGGUUUCAAAGAUUGUUUUUAUUUUUGGACAAUCUUUGAUCAUCCAUCUUCAAGGAUAACUUUAAGAACACAUGUAUUCUCAACUCCAUACCAUAGUGUACCUCUCUCUUGUGUGCCUAUACUCUAUUUUCACUAUGUACUUCUUUAACUCUGCCUAGUAAAGUCUAUCUAUGUUUUUCACUGAUGUGUCCAGAAUUUUUUUUUUCUUUGACCAGAGUCAAGAACCUAGUUGGUAUGCUGAGUUGAGAUUCCCAUCUCUUCUUUGGGAGGACUCCUUGGAUCCUAUCUGGUGACCGUAUUAUACGAACGUCUUUCAUUAUUCAUGAAAGGAAUGGGAUGAAACAUUGGAGUCCCGGAAGAUGAAGUGAAACAUCAUCCUUGCUUUUUUUCUCCCAUCAUCUCAUCACGGGAUUCACUUGAGACUAAUUCUUAAAAUAUCAUUUGAAUCUUCUCAUGUUUUGAUAGCCCCACCUCUCCUGUCACAGGCCAAGCCAUCUGACAUUUUUCUGCUGAUCACAGCAAGUUUAUUGUUCACCCACUUCCUACCAGGCUUCCUAUCCAGCCUAGCUCCAAAAAUUCUAAAAGCAAUGAUAUGGCCACAUUACUGCCAAGUUUAAGCCUUCCCAUAAUCCUCAGUGUGC
Molecule: long non-coding RNA, 1356 nt
Filed under: Heterocephalus glaber (naked mole-rat)
Lineage: Eukaryota; Metazoa; Chordata; Mammalia; Rodentia; Bathyergidae
Description: lncRNA (ENSHGLG00000050976.1)
Source: RNAcentral